CCUUAACAAGUAACAAUUAGAGGGCAAGUCUGGUGCCAGCAGCCGCGGUAAUUCCAGCUCUAAUAGCGUAUAUUAAUAUUGUUGCAGUUAAAAAGCUCGUAGUUGAAAUUUGGAACUUUAUUGUAUUGGUUUGUCUUUUGAUGAACUGUAUAAUGGGUUUCUUCCUACUAGAGUUCGAUUCUGUUCUUAACUGAAUGGAGUAGCUAUCUUUCGGGGUGGUCAAUUGGUUGUUAUAUCUCCACUAAUAAGCAGAGAGGGGUUAAACCUUCAAAGUAAGUUAUGUGGAUCAAGGUAUGGUGAUUAAUUGGAGUUCUAGUUCAUUUACUUUGAGAAAAUUAGAGUGUUUAAAGCAGCCUCUUGGGGCACUGAAUACAUUAGCAUGGGAUAAUAAAAUAGGAUCUUCACAAUAUAUUUUAUUGGUUUAAAUUGCGUAUGAAGAUAAUGAUUAAUA
RNAcentral lists this ribosomal RNA (451 nucleotides) under uncultured eukaryote. RNAcentral describes it as "partial 18S ribosomal RNA". It matches the Rfam family "Eukaryotic small subunit ribosomal RNA", at positions 532 to 874 of the family's 1831-position model. The record is from RNAcentral.